This 3068-nucleotide long non-coding RNA is filed under the name Salmo salar (Atlantic salmon). RNAcentral's name for it is "lncRNA (ENSSSAG00000111543.1)". The record is from RNAcentral. Lineage: Eukaryota; Metazoa; Chordata; Actinopteri; Salmoniformes; Salmonidae.
UCUUUCUUUCUUUCUUUCUUUCUUUCUUUCUUUCUUUCUUUCUUUCUUUCUUUCUGUCUUUCUUUCUUUUUUCUGUCUUUCUUUCUGUCUCUCUUCCUGCUUUUCUUUCUGUCUUUCCGUCUUUCUUUCUUUCUUUCUUUCUUUCUUUCUUUCUUUCUUUCUUUCUUUCUUUCUGUCUUUCUUUCUUUUUUCUGUCUUUCUGUCUUUCUUUCUGUCUUUCUUGUCAGUAAACAACCAUCAUAGCUGUUUUUCUGUCACUAGAUGAAUAAUAUACAGUAGUCAGACAUUGAACCAUUGGCUUUAGACACAAAAUUUGAUUAACCAAUUUGACUUGUCACUCAACUUCUGUUUGUUGACCUUAGCUAGACUAUAGGGAUAGGGAUACAUCUAUGUUUUAAAAGCCUACUUUGCCAAAUUCAAGCCAUUUCCUAAUUUAGGGGUAUUUAUCUCUUGGCGUCAGCCAGGGACACUUAGGUAUUGUGGAGCUGAGUUUGUCAAAAUACAUUCCCCCGUGUACUGCCAGUGGAGAGUGACAAGCGUAUUUAAUACACCCUGAUUCGUCUACUGGGUGAACACUUAAAACCAAGGACUCCAGCAGCAUUGGACAACGGUCCAGAACAUGUUGGAGAUGCACUUCUACCGUCUCUGGACCAGCACUAGGCUCAGGUUAGAUAUCUUCUGGACCAGCACUAGAUUCAGGUUAGAUAUCUCCCAGACCAGCACUAGGCUCAGGUUAGAUAUCUCAUAGACCAGCACUAGGCUCAGGUUAGAUAUCUCCCAGACCAGCACUAGGCUCAGGUUAGAUAUCUCCCAGACCAGCACUAGGCUCAGGUUAGAUAUCUCCCAGACUAGCACUAGACUCAGGUUGGAUAUCUCCUGGACCAGCACUAGAUUCAGGUUAGAUAUCUCCCAGACCAGCACUAGGCUCAGGUUAGAUAUCUCCCAGACUAGCACUAGGCUCAGGUUGGAUAUCUCCUGGACCAGCACUAGAUUCAGGUUAUAUAUCUCCCAGACCAGCACUAGGCUCAGGUUAGAUAUCUCCCAGACUAGCACUAGGCUCAGGUUAGAUAUCUCCUAGACCAGCACUAGGCUCAUGUUAGAUAUCUCAUAGGCCAGCACUAGAUUCAGGUUAAAUAUCUCAUAGACCAGCACUACGCUCAGGUUGGAUAUCUCAUAGACCAGCACUAGGCUCAGGUUAGAUAUCUCCUAGACCAGCACUAGGCUCAUGUUAGAUAUCUCCUAGACUAGCACUAAGCUCAGGUUAGAUAUAUCCUGUACUAGCACUAGGCUCAGGUUAGAUAUCUCCUAGACCAGCACUAGGCUCAGGUUGGAUAUCUCCUGGACCAGCACUAGGCUCAGGUUAGAUAUCUCCUGGACCAGCACUAGGCUCAGGUUAGAGGACACCAGAGCAUAGCAUGUGAUAUAGACCUCAUAUAAAUACUUUUUCUGUCCACCUACUGGGAGGUCAUGGCGUUACAGAAGAAGGAAUGAGUGACACCUAUUGCAGAGCUUGGCUUUUCUACAUAUUUGCAUACUAGACUUCUACUGCAGAGCUUGGAUGGUCUACAUAUUUGCAUACUAGACUUCUACUGUCACAGUACAGUAUGACCAUACUGGAGACACAUAUUUCCUUCAGAUUACACAGACACACAAACAAUUCAGAACUUGUUGGCACACAUAUAAGCCUUUCUGCAAGCAGACUCAUUCACAGACCCACACACACAGUCAUUCAUGUAUAAAUCGCUCUCUCUCACUCCUUCUUUCUCUCUAUCUCUCUUUGUAUGUCUGUUUGUUUGUCUCUAUCUCACUAUCUUCUCUCUCUCUCUCUUUCUAUAUCUCACUAUCUCUCUCUCUCUCUCUCUCUCACUAUCUCUCUCUCUCUCUAUCUCUCUCUCUCACUUUCUUUCUCUUGGCCUGUCUCUCCUCUCUCCUCCCUCUCUCAGGCUCUACGUCUGGUUAUCCACCCUCCCCUCUCUGCCUCUGGUUAUCCACCCUCCCCUCUCUACGUCUGGUUAUCCACCCUCUCCUCUCUACAUCUGGUUAUCCACCCUCUCCUCUCUACGUCUGGUUAUCCACCCUCCUCUCUACGUCUGGUUAUCCACCCUCUCCUCUCUACAUCUGGUUAUCCACCCUCUCCUCUCUCUGUCUGGUUAUCCACCCUCUCCUCUCUACGUCUGGUUAUCCACCCUCUCCUCUCUACGUCUGGUUAUCCACCCUCUCCUCUCUACAUCUGGUUAUCCACCCUCCUCUCUAUGUCUGGUUAUCCACCCUCUCCUCUCUACAUCUGGUUAUCCACCCUCUCCUCUCUACGUCUGGUUAUCCACCCUCUCCUCUCUGUCUGGUUAUCCACCCUCUCCUCUCUACGUCUGGUUAUCCACCCUCUCCUCUCUACAUCUGGUUAUCCACCCUCCUCUCUAUGUCUGGUUAUCCACCCUCUCCUCUCUACAUCUGGUUAUCCACCCUCUCCUCUCUACGUCUGGUUAUCCACCCUCCUCUCUACGUCUGGUUAUCCACCCUCUCCUCUCUCUCUCUCUGUCUCAUUAUCCACCCUUCCCUCUCUCUCUCUCUCUCUCUCUCUCUCUCUCUCUCUCUCUCUCUCUCUGUCUGGGUAUGCACCCCCCCCUCUCUCUCUCUGGUUAUGCACCCCUCCCUCUCUCUCUCUGGUUAUCCACCCUCCCCCUCUCUCUCUCGCUGUCUUGUUAUCCACACUCCUCUCUCUCUCUCUGUCUGGUUAUGCACCCUCCCCUCUCUCGCUCUCUCUCUGUCUGGUUAUGCACCCUUCCCCCCUCUCUCUCUCUCUGUCUGGUUAUGCACCCUCCCCCCUCUCUCUCUGUCUGGUUAUGCACCCUCUCUCUCGCUCUCUCUCUCUCUGGUUAUGCACCUCUCCCUCUCUCUCUCUGGUUAUCCACCCUCCCCCCUCUCUCUCUCGCUGUCUUGUUAUCCACACUCCUCUCUCUCUCUCUCUCUCUCUCUCUGUCUGGUUAUGCACCCUCCCCACUCUCGCUCUCUCUCUGUCUGGUUAUGCAGCCUUCCCCCCCUCUCUCUCUCUGUCUGGUUAUGCACCCUCC